AGUGGGUUGUGAUACCUCAGCUUGCCGCAAUACUAGGUCACCAACUUGGAACUCCUUGGUCUUGACUCAGGCAUUAUAAUAGUUGGCUACUCUCUGGUGAUAGGCAGCCAUCCACACAGCGGCAUGCUCCAUACUUUCUUCAAUCAAGUUGAGAUUAGCCUGGAGCCAUACUGAGUUGGUGUCUUCAUCAUAUUCCUCCACUCUAAGAGAUGAAAAUCCAAACUCCACAGGAAUGAC
This 237-nucleotide long non-coding RNA is filed under the name Elaeis guineensis (African oil palm). RNAcentral's name for it is "long non-coding RNA (EGUI_LNC063921)". Lineage: Eukaryota; Viridiplantae; Streptophyta; Magnoliopsida; Arecales; Arecaceae. The record is from RNAcentral.